This 269-nucleotide ribosomal RNA is filed under the name uncultured archaeon. Its description in RNAcentral is "partial 16S ribosomal RNA". It matches the Rfam family "Archaeal small subunit ribosomal RNA", at positions 717 to 982 of the family's 1478-position model. The record is from RNAcentral.
AGUCACUGACUAUUAGACUACCCGUGUACGUCCCAGCUGUAAACGAUGCAGGCUAGGUGUUUGGACGGCCACGUGCCGUUCUAGUGCCGCAGGGAAGCUGUUAAGCCUGCCGCCUGGGGAGUACGAUCGCAAGAUUGAAACUUAAAGGAAUUGGCGGGGGAGCACCACAAGGGGGUGAAGCUUGCGGUUUAAUUGGAGUCAACGCCGGAAAUCUCACCGGGAGCGACAGCAGUGUGAAGGCCAGAUUAAAGGUCUUGCCAGACGAGCUG